UACGGGGGGGGCAAGCGUUGUUCGGAAUUACUGGGACUAAAGGGCGCGUAGGCGGCCUUCUAAGUCGGACGUGAAAUCCCUCGGCUUAACCGAGGAACUGCGUCCGAUACUGAAAGGCUUGAAUCCGGGAGAGGGAUGUGGAAUUCCAGGUGUAGCGGUGAAAUGCGUAGAUAUCUGGAGGAACACCGGUGGCGAAGGCGGCAUCCUGGACCGGCAUUGACGCUGAGGCGCGAAAGCUAGGGGAGCAAACGGG
This 253-nucleotide ribosomal RNA is filed under the name uncultured bacterium. Its description in RNAcentral is "partial 16S ribosomal RNA". It matches the Rfam family "Bacterial small subunit ribosomal RNA", at positions 524 to 776 of the family's 1533-position model. The record is from RNAcentral.